Molecule: long non-coding RNA, 201 nt
Filed under: Lathyrus oleraceus (garden pea)
Lineage: Eukaryota; Viridiplantae; Streptophyta; Magnoliopsida; Fabales; Fabaceae
Description: Pisum sativum (pea) long non-coding RNA (PSAT_LNC034597)
Source: RNAcentral
UUGGACAGACAAAUCUUCAACCUGGAGGAUACCUUUGUCGAGCAAGGCCUGGAUACCCUGCUGUAGUUUCAAACAACCUCCACUCUGAGUGGCACAAUCCAAACAACCCUUCCCACAACCGGGGAAGACAUCGGCCUUCAGCAAGCAUCCUUUGAUAUCCAACAAUGGAGUCUUCAACUUCAACACAUCCUUAAUGGACUU